GCCCCGGUAGCUCAGCUGGAUAGAGCGAUCGCCUCCUAAGCGAUAGGUCGCAGGUUCGAAUCCUGCUCGGGGCACCA
Molecule: transfer RNA, 77 nt
Filed under: Gammaproteobacteria bacterium
Lineage: Bacteria; Pseudomonadati; Pseudomonadota; Gammaproteobacteria
Also listed under: 1 other name
Description: tRNA-Arg
Rfam family: tRNA
About the family: Transfer RNA (tRNA) molecules are approximately 80 nucleotides in length. Their secondary structure includes four short double-helical elements and three loops (D, anti-codon, and T loops). Further hydrogen bonds mediate the characteristic L-shaped molecular structure. tRNAs have two regions of fundamental functional importance: the anti-codon, which is responsible for specific mRNA codon recognition, and the 3' end, to which the tRNAs corresponding amino acid is attached (by aminoacyl-tRNA synthetases). tRNAs cope with the degeneracy of the genetic code in two manners: having more than one tRNA (with a specific anti-codon) for a particular amino acid; and 'wobble' base-pairing, i.e. permitting non-standard base-pairing at the 3rd anti-codon position.
Source: RNAcentral